Long non-coding RNA from Macadamia integrifolia, 6025 nucleotides. RefSeq lists it as uncharacterized. NCBI's taxonomy places the organism in Eukaryota, Viridiplantae, Streptophyta, Magnoliopsida, Proteales, Proteaceae. The record is from RefSeq and is a predicted model, not a curated record. The transcript has 3 exons.
UAAUUUCAUAAAUGAAAUUAAUCCCAAUCAAUUCUCUUUGCCCACCUCUCCACUCAUAGUAAUUGCCAUAAAUAGAAUUUAGGGCUCCCAUAGAGUGUUAUUGACCAUUUUCCACUACCUUGAUCCCAAUGGUCCCACACCAUAACAAGACAAUCAAAACACAUAAAAGAAAGACUUCAUUUUGAAACUUAAAUAUAAUAAAAUAGAUAUAAUAUCUAACAAUAUCGGACUAUUUUUUCUAAUAAUAUUUUGCAGAAUUGUUCUACUAAAAUAGAAGAGCAUUUCAGAAGAGUUUAGUGUUGUUCUUAUUCUUCUGUCUCAAUCUAUAUAAUGUUCUCUCUCUUAAUCACUCAAAAUAUCUGUUUCUGGUAAUCCUGUGUUUACACAAGUCUCCAGCCGGUAUUGGAAUUGCAUUAAGUGUUCACAUGACCACGUCAAACGUAGAAAUACAGAAAAUAUUUGAUUCUCAAAAUUUGAACUAAGAAGAAGUUCUUAUUUUAUUGCAAAGUGUAUAACACAUUUGUAAUUAUAACACUAGAUGAUGCGUCCUAUGAAAGUUAAAAAUUCAAAUGCACGUCCACAAGUUUAGUUAAUUUUCUUCACUGCAAAUUUUUUCUAGUUAGAUGAUUAAAGGUAAGUGUUGGCGCCCAAAUUUCAAAAUACACCCUAGUGACGUGGUAGGGGUGGUUUUGGAUAUUUGGAAGAAAACUUGGGUUAAUCGUAUCGACUUGUCAACCACGUAAAAGUUGAUACCGUUUCGCCAGAGCGGUUAAGAUAUGCCUGCAUAAGGCAAAGUUAGUGAGACAGGUGGCGACCGUACAUUGAAAGAACCACUUCAUGGGCAAAGUGGACAAAUAAUGUGGGCAAUGGAACAGUUAAUGGAUCCAAGGUAUAUAAGGAGAAAAAGCUGCCUAAUACAAGAGGACAAUCAACACAUUCAAACAAAACCAACAAUGCAACUCUUUAUUUCAAUUUCGUAUUUUUCAUUCCUGUAUUUAGAAUUAGAGAUUGAGUAGAACUUGUUUGUUCACUUCUUCAUGAAUUUUCAAUUCACAAAGUCUAUACGUUAGGCUUUAGUGUUUUGUAUUUUAAAAACUCCUUUUGAGAGGAUUAAUGUGAUUUAUUCUCUCGUCCUUCGAAGGUUUUGAUUCAUAAAAAGUUCCUAGAGCUAUCGGCGCAAGAGUAGGACCCAGAUCGCUCGGUCGAAGUCAGAUUUGAUUUUAAAUCCGAUCAGGAAGAAUUCUGACACACCCGCGCACACACCAAUACGGUCAACUGACCGUAGUUAAGGGAGGAAUUUUUGUGCCAACAGUAAGUUAGUCUAGCUUUUGAGCAAUCAUUGCAAGUUGCAACACUGUACUAACAGAAAAUGAAGGCCAAAGACAGAAAAUUUUCACUGGUCAUACAAUGCAAUAGAUGGAAAUGGCAUGAUGAAAGGAUCAGAAUGAACAUAAAAUAGCUCAAAAGAGGGACUGAAAUUGUUUACUUGGUCCUAGUUAACAAUGGCAGCACAAAGAAACCAUCCUCAGAAAGACAGUUUAGCAUCUUUAAAGGCUCCCCAUGCUAGAUGAUGGAAAUAAAAAAUGAGCUGUACGUAACAAAUGCAUAGCCUACUUUAUGAUUCAAGAUAAUAUUUCUACAUACAUGGCUGAAAUGUAAGUUUAUGGAUGACAUAUAUGUUAUAGUUAGAUGAUUAAGACAAAGGUUCAUUGGAAUGCAUAAAGGCAAACAGAAUCCUAAAAUUCCAGCUAUAGUGCAUAGCAAUUGACCCUAACCAUGUUUUGGAGGACCAUUCACAAAAGAAAAAUUGUUGAGCACAUAUAAAAAAUUGGUUUCAAAGCAGAGAAAAAACCCUUCUCUCAAUAUCCCAAUUUUACUGUAAUUGGUUUUCAUUCCCCAUCAGAUCUCAAACAGUACAUAGUAGACCCUACUCAGUCCACCCUACAAACUUAACAUUCGAGAGAAAACUCUACCACCCAGAAACCCCUCCCUUGAUAACAGACACCAAAUCAAUGAAAAAAAAGAAAAAAAAGAAAAAAAAAAAAAAAAAAAAAAAAAAGAAAGAAAAAGAAGAAAGAAUGACAACCAAUUCAUUUACAUUCACAUAAGCAAGGAUAUCUGCAUGAGAAGUUAUAACAAGAUUAAAGUGCAGUAACUGUGCUUUCAUGUUUUGAGAAGAGAUGUUAAUAUAUAAAAAAAAAUAAAAAAAAUAAAAAUAAUUACAUUCACAUAAGCAAGGAUUUCUGCAUGAGAAUUUAUAACAAGAUUAUAAAUGCAAACUAACUUCUUCUUGCCAAUAUCUGGAAUGUCGCUCCUUUCAACCUUCUCCAUAAUUACCUGCAUAGCAAAAUGAUAAGUUCAGAAGAUUAAGUUGAAAGAAUGUACAGAAUAUUACUCAAAAGCAAGUUAAUCAUUUUCUCGAUACACAAAAAUCAAAUGAGAAGUUAAAAAAAGGUCAUACUGGAAUUCUAUCUGGAUAUUUCUCCCUGAUGCGAGCAGCUUCAGCUUGCCUCCUUUCUGAAAAGGUAAAAUUUUUAGAAUAAAAACGACAAAUGUAGUAUUUCUUCAUUAAUGCUUGUGUUUUUUGUUUUUAUGUCUUUCUACCAAACAGAUGGGCGAUCAAAAGGAUCCAGGUUGGGCUUAUACAAUUAGACACUAUGGUAAGGGUGAUAGGACAGUACAAUGCAGUUUGUGUGGGAAAGAAAUGUAAGGGGGAUUUCCAGAUUAAAGCAACACCUUGCUUACAAAAAGGGGCAAGUGGCUCCCUGUGGUUCUGUCUCAAUUACAAUGAUGAAACAAUUUCAUAAAUAUUUACGUGAGACAAAAAUUGCCAAAAUUGCCAAACAUAGACAAGGAGAGGUUGAAUUGGAAGCUAUUAGGAGAGGAAGUAAUCCAUCUGGAUUCGUCGAUCAAUCAGGGGACACUGCAUAUGAAAAUUUUGCUGUUGGAGGUAGCCAUGCUUACCUAGACACAAAUGAGGGAGAUUUUCAUUUGGACUAUGCUAUGCGGGCUAGCAUGGCCUCUUUAGAGUCUGAUGCAGUGAGACGGAGAUCCAUUGCUAUCGAUGGUGGGUCAUCUCGCCAAGCUGGAAAAGAGGAGGAGAUAUUGGGGGACCAUAUUAUGACAUGAGGUAAAGGUUCAUGUUCACUGGUGCUGAGCCAUUUAGUAUAGGACCCUUUCAGAGGUCUACAACUAUUAGAGAGAGAGAGAGCAACUUAUGAGCAGGUUGAGGAUCUAGUGAACUUGGCCAAAGGGAAGGCUAUUCCUCCAGGAGGCAGACCUGGUGACUACAGAGCAGCAUUUGCAAAACAGACCAUGAUAUCAGAUCAUGUUAAGGGGAAGUUAUUGGAUAAAACAACUAAAAUUUGUAGGGAGGUAACAAGGUGGUUAACUUUAAAUGGUUUGCCUUUUAAUUCUAUUAAGAAUAAACACCUUCAAAAUUUAUUAAAUGUAGCGGCAGAGGAGGGAAAAUAAAUGCUCCUAUCCCAUGGGAGAUUCACAUAAAUAUCUUCCAUUGGGGGUUUAGGAUUUGAAAGAGUACAUCAAUUCUCUUCGGCCUGAUUGGGUGAAGAAGGGUGUGAUUAUAAUGUGUGAUGGGUGGACUUCGAACACAAGGAAGUCUUUUAUCAACUUCAUAAUAUACUGCAAUGGGAACACUAUUUUUCACAAGUCCAUUGAUGCAUCAAAUGAUCGGAAGACGAGUGCAUUUAUAUUUGCACAAUUGAAGUCAGUUAUCCAAGACAUUGGAGAAGAGCAUAUUAUUUAGUUGGUAAUAGACAAUGAGACUUCAUACAAAGCAACAGGGAGGUUGUUGGAGAAUGAUCAUCAUCACCUUUUUGGGCACCAUAUGACACCUGUUGCUUAGAUUUUAUUUUACAUGAGCUUAACACCUUCAAUGAGAUCAGGGAGAUUCAAUUGAUUGGUGUGUUAUUAGUAGGCAGAUAUAUAAUUCUUUUGCUGCUACUAACCAAUUGAGGAUAUUUACUGGUAGCAAGGACUUAUAUAGAUCUGGGACUACAAGGUUUGCCACUGAGUAUAUAUCAUUACAGAGUUUAUUGGAUAACAGGGGUAGCGAUGCUAAAUGCCUUUCUAGAUGAAAAUUUUUUUCAUAGCCCUUGGUCAAAAUGAAAAUAAAAGAAAAGAUUGAGUUAUGUGGAUGCAAAGCACCAUCAAUGGUGGUUGGUUUUGGUAUGGGGCGGCUAGGGUUGUAGCAAUCAUGAAGCCCAUAAUGGCUGUACAAUAGGUUGUCAAUACCGAGCUACGAGUUACUCUACCUUUUAUCUAUGAUGCCAUGCUUCGGGCUGAAGAAUGCAUCUUGAACAAUGUCUAGGAGGGUGAGAAAUACUGGCGAAAGAUAUAAAACGGUGGGAUGAAAAAUGGCCCAUCUGAUUCAUGCUGCUAGUAUAAAUAUUUACUGUGCUUCAUUGAUGUUUGAUAUUACAUUUUCAAAAUUUUAAAUGUAUUAUUGACAAUUGCCCAUGCUUUCAAAUUUUUUUCUAAUAUAUGGCGGCAUCAUAUGAAACCAAGAUGAAUGUCAAAUGGAAAUGAUGACAGUAAUAAGAAGACUGGCCAGGAACCUUAAUGAGAAGAGCAUAUGCAUCAAUGAGAUACAAAUUUAUGAGAGAAAGGUAGGUGAAUUUGGUUCUUUGCUAAUUCAACGGGCCAUCCAUAUCACAGCACAAGAUUAUUGGUGGGAGAUAUAUGGUGUAUCAGCCCCACAUCUAAGAAAGGUGGCAAUGAAAGUAUGUAGCAAACUUGUAGCAUAUUAGGAUGUGAGAGAAACUGGAGUAAAUUCAGCCUUGUUCAUACUAAGCCAUAAAACUGGUUGAAGCUAAAGACUCUACAUGAACUUGUCUUCAUCCACGACAACGAGCAACUUCAUCUUCGUAAUUUGCGCUUAUAGGAUAUUGAGUAUACUCCAUCAGAUCUUACACACACUAUCAUUAUGAUGAUUCAAUACAUUCAUGGAUGCAUCAACAUGUGCAUAUGGAUACUGAGGCUAUUGAGCCUCUACUAGAUGGUGACAUAUUCUGAUUGGACAUGGAGCUUUAAGGUAAGUCGACCCAUUAUUAGCCCAUAAUGCAAGAUCAUGAUGAGAUUUAUUAACAAAUCCCAAAAAACUGCUACGAACGCGGUGAUGAUGCUCCUAAUCAGUAGGACUCAAACGUCUCACAUAGAGAAGAGGUUAAAGAACAGACAAAUCUUUAGUUGGGUCGACGUAGUAGACGUUGAGAUUUGCAAGGUCAUAGUAGUGGAGUGAGAGACCAUAAAGAGUGUGGGUUGGCGUAUAGUUCAUUCGGGUAGCAGUGGAGGAAUCGUGGCGCCUAGUGGUGUUACACAUAGAAAGCGUGAUAGUGGUCAUGGGAGUAAGCAACGCAAGCAUCGACAGUCGACUCAGACAUUGGAGAGUCAAACUACGCGAUUACAGACAUGCCAUUGCCAUGAUAAGGGACUAAUAGAUGAGGAUCAAGAGUUACCAUUGGAGGAGGAAGAGAUUGAUUCUGAUGAGGAUUGCUUCUUUAGAUCAAGCUGGUGGUGAUGUUAGUGAGGAUUUAGAUGACGGGACUAAUAACAACAUUUCAAAAGGACAUAUAUGGCCUGCAUGGUCUGCGAGACAGACAUAUGGUGUUAACACCCAACAUGUCUUAGGUGAUAUUCAUAAUUGGUAUUUUGAGUAGUAGAUGGGGACAUAUUCCAUAUUUUGAGACUCAGGAACCGUACCAUGGAUGUCUACCCAGCAAUACGGAUUUAUUGAGCCUACACUGUAGCCGAUGGAUGGUAUUCAAUAGUACCAAAGUGGAUGGGAUGAUGGCAGCAAGAAUCAAAGAUAUGAUGGACCACGACAUUCAGUCCACGAUUGAUAAUGUACUAAUUUGAGGUUAUUUUCUUUGUUAUUUCAAUACUUUAUCUAUUUUCUAUUGUUUCUUAAGAUUUAUUUUCACCUGAGACUUUUUGUGGUGUAUGUACAACAAGAAAAACAGAUCGUAGCAAAUCAUACAAGUGUGUGUUGGGCUCUCGACCUUGG